GAAUGCUGACAUAAGUAACGAUAAAGCGGGUGAAAAGCCCGCUCGCCGGAAGACCAAGGGUUCCUGUCCAACGUUAAUCGGGGCAGGGUGAGUCGACCCCUAAGGCGAGGCCGAAAGGCGUAGUCGAUGGGAAACGGGUUAAUAUUCCCGUACUUGGUGUUACUGCGAAGGGGGGACGGAGAAGGCUAUGUUGGCCGGGCGACGGUUGUCCCGGUUUAAGCGUGUAGGUGUGUGUUCCAGGUAAAUCCGGUUCACUUUAACACUGAGGCGUGACGACGAGGCACUACGGUGCUGAAGCAACAAAUGCCCUGCUUCCAGGAAAAGCCUCU
This 329-nucleotide ribosomal RNA is filed under the name Salmonella enterica. Its description in RNAcentral is "partial 23S ribosomal RNA". It matches the Rfam family "Bacterial large subunit ribosomal RNA", at positions 1292 to 1622 of the family's 2925-position model. The record is from RNAcentral. Lineage: Bacteria; Pseudomonadati; Pseudomonadota; Gammaproteobacteria; Enterobacterales; Enterobacteriaceae. RNAcentral also lists the same sequence under 2 other names.